CGUGUAGGCGGUCGGCCAAGUCCGGUGUGAAAGCCCGGGGCUCAGCCCCGGAAGUGCACCGGAAACUAGCCGACUUGAGCGCGAUAGAGGAGGGUGGAAUUCCUGGUGUAGCGGUGAAAUGCGUAGAUAUCAGGAGGAACAUCGGCGGCGAAGGCGGCCCUCUGGCUCGUUGCUGACGCUGAGACGCGAAAGCGUGGGGAGCAAACAGGAUUAGAUACCCUGGUAGUCCACGCUGUAAACGAUGGGUACUAGGUGUUCGGGGUGUUGACCCCCUGAGUGCCGACGCUAACGCAUUAAGUACCCCGCCUGGGGACUACGGCCGCAAGGCUAAA
This 332-nucleotide ribosomal RNA is filed under the name uncultured bacterium. RNAcentral describes it as "bacterial SSU rRNA". It matches the Rfam family "Bacterial small subunit ribosomal RNA", at positions 568 to 898 of the family's 1533-position model. The record is from RNAcentral.